RNAcentral lists this transfer RNA (65 nucleotides) under Heterocephalus glaber (naked mole-rat). It matches the Rfam family "tRNA". Rfam says of the family: Transfer RNA (tRNA) molecules are approximately 80 nucleotides in length. Their secondary structure includes four short double-helical elements and three loops (D, anti-codon, and T loops). The record is from Rfam by way of RNAcentral. Lineage: Eukaryota; Metazoa; Chordata; Mammalia; Rodentia; Bathyergidae.
AGUGGAGUUCAGUGGUAGAACACUUGCCUAGCAUGCAUGAAGUCCUGGGUUUGAUCCCCAGCACU